This 605-nucleotide long non-coding RNA is filed under the name Olea europaea subsp. europaea. Lineage: Eukaryota; Viridiplantae; Streptophyta; Magnoliopsida; Lamiales; Oleaceae. The record is from RNAcentral.
CUCUUGACUAUGCUAAAAUACCAUGAAGUUAUCGAGGGGAGUGGAGAUUUCCACAGUUUUGAUCAAUGCAUUCCUAUCUUAAUGGAGAAUUAUGAACUAUUUUGAAUUAGUUGUUUGCUACUUUGAUUGUGAAAAUGAUCAUCACAUAUGAAUUUAUCAAGGCUUCAUUUAAGUAGGUAGAAUCUACAUUUUUGGCUUACUAUUCUAUAUUGUUGUUACCUUAAUAGUGUACUAUUCAUCUUUGGGUUGAUAGGUCUUUUGCUUCUAUUUGUCAAACACAAGCAUUUUCAUAACUGUCCUUUUUUGUUUUGGAAUAGAAGUGCAUUUUUUUAUGUUUUAUGGAACUCACUGAAUUAAUUAUGUUGCACAUCGUGGCCUGCGCCAAAAUCGUGCUUUACCCUUGAUGUCCAGUCCACUGCUGCACCUCAAGCACUUCGUGGAGAACCGGCUAGCUCUAGGUUCGAGUGGCAUUUCAAGCCCCUUUGUUUUGGAAAUUUAAUUCUGCCUAUGACAUCCUUUCAUAGAAAGAGAGAAAUUAAUUGAUGUAUUUAUUCGAUCCGGAAGAAGUCAGUGUGCUUAUCUUAAUGUAAUUAUAAAUAGUUUAC